RNAcentral lists this ribosomal RNA (568 nucleotides) under Stomatella sp. 3 JEU-2016. RNAcentral's name for it is "partial 16S ribosomal RNA". It matches the Rfam family "Bacterial large subunit ribosomal RNA", at positions 1819 to 2597 of the family's 2925-position model. The record is from RNAcentral. Lineage: Eukaryota; Metazoa; Mollusca; Gastropoda; Trochida; Trochidae.
GUCUCCUUGAAUAUAAUUGUAUAGGGAGUCGGACCUGCCCGGUGACUAAAUGUUAAACGGCCGCGGUACCCUAACCGUGCAAAGGUAGCAUAAUCAUUUGCCUUUUAAUUGGAGGCUGGUAUGAAUGGUUUAACGAAAGCUAAACUGUCUCUUUUGGGAUAAAUAGAAUUUAACUUUUAGGUGAAGAGGCCUAAAUUUAUUUGAGGGACAAGAAGACCCUAUUGAGCUUUAAUGUAGCUGUAAGUGUAGUAAAGAUAAAAAUAAAAAUUUUUGAGGGUGUAUAUUUUAAUAUAAUUCUUUUUGCAGUAAAUUUUUAGUUGGGGCGACUGAGGAACAAAAAAAGCUUCCUUAAUAAUUUUAAAAAUAAUAAUUUGAAAUUUAUAUUAUUUUUACUUAAUAGAUUUGAUCCAAAAUUUUUGAUCAAUGGAAAAAGUUACCAUAGGGAUAACAGCGUAAUCUUUCUGGAGAGAUCUAAUCGAAAGAAGGGUUUGCGACCUCGAUGUUGGACUAAGAUAUCCAGAGGGUGUAGAAGUUCUCGAAGGUUGGUCUGUUCGACCAUUAAAAUCUU